Long non-coding RNA from Neltuma alba, 190 nucleotides. RefSeq lists it as uncharacterized. NCBI's taxonomy places the organism in Eukaryota, Viridiplantae, Streptophyta, Magnoliopsida, Fabales, Fabaceae. The transcript is spliced from 3 exons. The record is from RefSeq and is a predicted model, not a curated record.
AUCUCUAACGACAACUUUAGGAGUCAACCCGGCUUCUAUCCUCGUCACUUGAAACAUCUUUUCCCCCAAUUGCACAGUUUUUUGAGCGUUGGGGUCUUCACAGCCAUGAAUCGGCAACAUCCCACAGUCUUUGCGUUGUGGAGUGGUUAAAGGGAACGAGAGCUUCCCCAGUAUGAAUGUGGGAAACUGA